GGGUUUAAUACCGUAUACGCCCUUCGGGGGAAAGAAUUUCGGUGAGGGAUCGGCCCGCGUUAGAUUAGUUAGUUGGUGGGGUAAUGGCCUACCAAGACUACGAUCUAUAGCUGGUUUGAGAGGAUGAUCAGCAACACUGGGACUGAGACACGGCCCAGACUCCUACGGGAGGCAGCAGUGGGGAAUCUUAGACAAUGGGGGCAACCCUGAUCUAGCGAUGCCGCGUGAGUGAUGAAGGCCUUAGGGUCGUAAAGCUCUUUCGCCUGUGAUGAUAAUGACAGUAGCAGGUAAAGAAACCCCGGCUAACUCCGUGCCAGCAGCCGCGGUAAUACGGAGGGGGUUAGCGUUGUUCGGAAUUACUGGGCGUAAAGCGCACGUAGGCGGAUUAGUCAGUCAGAGGUGAAAUCCCAGGGCUCAACCCUGGAACUGCCUUUGAUACUGCUAGUCUUGAGUUCGAGAGAGGUAAGUGGAAUUCCGAGUGUAGAGGUGAAAUUCGUAGAUAUUCGGAGGAACACCAGUGGCGAAGGCGGCUUACUGGCUCGAUACUGACGCUGAGGUGCGAAAGUGUGGGGAGCAAACAGGAUUAGAUACCCUGGUAGUCCACACCGUAAACGAUGAAUGCCAGUCGUCGAGUAGCAUGCUAUUCGGUGACACACCUAACGGAUUAAGCAUUCCGCCUGGGGAGUACGGUCGCAAGAUUAACACUCA
This 708-nucleotide ribosomal RNA is filed under the name Celeribacter sp. RNAcentral's name for it is "bacterial SSU rRNA". It matches the Rfam family "Bacterial small subunit ribosomal RNA", at positions 159 to 903 of the family's 1533-position model. Lineage: Bacteria; Pseudomonadati; Pseudomonadota; Alphaproteobacteria; Rhodobacterales; Roseobacteraceae. The record is from RNAcentral.